Molecule: long non-coding RNA, 318 nt
Filed under: Panax ginseng (ginseng)
Lineage: Eukaryota; Viridiplantae; Streptophyta; Magnoliopsida; Apiales; Araliaceae
Description: long non-coding RNA (PGIN_LNC016916)
Source: RNAcentral
UCAAACUUUAGAUAUAUACUUUAACAUGUAGUUUCUCUAAAUUUUUCUUUAGCAUUUAUGUUGCUAUUUUAAAAAAAAAACAGAAUAUGAAAAAUAUUACAUCUAAAUGUGUCAUAGGGCACGCCGUAAAAUGUAUGUGAUAGACAUUGUUUUGAACAUUGACGGUCAAACUGAGAUGGAGGAACUAUAAAUAGGAAAAAGGAAAUGAAAUAUCAAUACAAAUAAUUUUGCAUGCCAUCUUUCGGUGUUUGAUUUUGCUUAUCAUAGGACGUACGAGAACAGUUGUGCCCUAUCUUGGAAGUCCACAAACACUUAGGG